Molecule: ribosomal RNA, 219 nt
Filed under: uncultured bacterium
Lineage: Bacteria
Description: partial 16S ribosomal RNA
Source: RNAcentral
GCCUCCCUCCGCCGCCACUCACGACUACCUACCGGGCGGGCCGACGCGAGGUAGGGGUAAGGUACGUUGUCACAAUAGGAGGAAACGUACUGAUGCAGCGACGGCCGGCCGGUCGGAGGCGAUGAAGCCUUCGGGUGGUAAGCUCUUCGUCAAGGAAGAUAAUGACGGUACCUGCAGAAGCAGCUGCGGCUAACUACGUGCCAGCAGCCGCGGUAAUAC